Molecule: transfer RNA, 71 nt
Filed under: Marmota monax (woodchuck)
Lineage: Eukaryota; Metazoa; Chordata; Mammalia; Rodentia; Sciuridae
Description: tRNA.Glu
Source: RNAcentral
GGGGUUGUGGCUCACCGGUAGAGUACUCCUCUCUCAUGUGUGAGGAACUGGGUUCAAUCCUCAGCACCACA